RNAcentral lists this ribosomal RNA (501 nucleotides) under Streptomyces sp. PC5007. RNAcentral describes it as "bacterial SSU rRNA". It matches the Rfam family "Bacterial small subunit ribosomal RNA", at positions 90 to 602 of the family's 1533-position model. The record is from RNAcentral. Lineage: Bacteria; Bacillati; Actinomycetota; Actinomycetes; Kitasatosporales; Streptomycetaceae.
GAUUAGUGGCGAACGGGUGAGUAACACGUGGGCAAUCUGCCCUUCACUCUGGGACAAGCCCUGGAAACGGGGUCUAAUACCGGAUACGACCUCCGACCGCAUGGUCUGGUGGUGGAAAGCUCCGGCGGUGAAGGAUGAGCCCGCGGCCUAUCAGCUUGUUGGUGGGGUGAUGGCCUACCAAGGCGACGACGGGUAGCCGGCCUGAGAGGGCGACCGGCCACACUGGGACUGAGACACGGCCCAGACUCCUACGGGAGGCAGCAGUGGGGAAUAUUGCACAAUGGGCGAAAGCCUGAUGCAGCGACGCCGCGUGAGGGAUGACGGCCUUCGGGUUGUAAACCUCUUUCAGCAGGGAAGAAGCGAGAGUGACGGUACCUGCAGAAGAAGCGCCGGCUAACUACGUGCCAGCAGCCGCGGUAAUACGUAAGGGCGCAAGCGUUGUCCCGGAAUUAUUGGGCGUAAAGAGCUCGUAGGCGGCUUGUCGCGUCGGAUGUGAAAGCC